AGCAAAAUGAAUUUACCAACCCUACUUAUUUAAAUUUAUGUACUUGAAAUUUGAAGAAUUUGGCGGUGAUUUAGCCUUGUCAGAGGAACCUGUUUUUGAAUGGAUCCCCCACGAACAAUCUUACUUAAGCUUGUUGUAUUAUGUAUACCAUCAUUAUUAGGUAAUUUUUAUAGAAUAAAUUACUGUAUAUUUGUUUAAAAAGGUUAAAAUAUAUAAUACAAGGGGCCCAAAUACGAAUGUUCAAGAGGGGUUGACUAAAAAAUAUUUUUCUCCGACAAUACCAAUUAACCCCCUUAUUUAAAAGGGGGAUUUGAUUGAAAAGUAAAUUAAAAAAGCUGAGUUAGAUAAAAGCUCUAAAUCAUGCACACCCCGCCCCCCCACCCAAAAAA
RNAcentral lists this ribosomal RNA (389 nucleotides) under Scylla serrata (giant mud crab). RNAcentral describes it as "partial 12S ribosomal RNA". The record is from RNAcentral. Lineage: Eukaryota; Metazoa; Arthropoda; Malacostraca; Decapoda; Portunidae.